Anolis carolinensis (green anole) is the source of this 2670-nucleotide long non-coding RNA. RefSeq lists it as uncharacterized. NCBI's taxonomy places the organism in Eukaryota, Metazoa, Chordata, Lepidosauria, Squamata, Anolidae. The transcript has 2 exons. The record is from RefSeq and is a predicted model, not a curated record.
GCCUUUUUAUAGGCUUUUUUCUAUGUAUCUGCCUGCCCUCUUCUAAAAUGGCGGCAUUUUGAACGUAUCCAGCCCUCAACAAAGAUGGAAAUCGCCUUGGUUGCCGUGGAUACCAUUCUCCGCCUUUACCAAAGCCCUUCAGCGGUUGAGGACUUCAACUGCCAGAAGCCUUCGCCGCGUCUGCCAAUGAGCAGGAAUUAUGGGAGUUGAAGUCCAAAACCUUAAAAGGCCGAAAUUGGAGGGAAAUGACUCCAUAGCAUUAGGCCCUGGCGUCAAAAGGUCGGAAUUUGAGGUUCGGACGGGGAGGACGCAACUCACCUGUGGAACCAGGAACUGGCUCAGGAGAUAAGCGGCGGUGACAGCGGAGGAGGGAGCGUCGGGGCCGAUGACCGCCACCACCCGUGUCUUGUAGUCACUGUAGUUCCGCUUGAUCUCGACCCUCAAGUGGUCGUCAGAGAGGAAGGAGAAGAGCGGCUGGAUGAUGUUGGUCAGGUAGCAGACGUCGAAGAUCUCGUAGCCCAAGGAGAGUCCCGGGAGCAGGGCGCUGGAGUUGUUGAUCUCCUCCACCGCAAAGCGCAUGGCUUGCAGGUAGCUGAAGCCGAUCGUCCUCAGUCUGUAACUGGGAGGGAGAGAGAGAGGCACCAUUUCCUACCCAUCCCAGAAUCCCCUCUUGCAAAUUCACAGGAGAAUGGACUAUAAACUUAAUAUGAGCUGGUGCUGUGAUGCUGCAGCACGUCCGACCGAUCCUGCUUCUCUGCCUGAAACUAAGGAAUACUUGGUACCUCUUUGAAUGGGUUUCAUUUUGGGGUUUAGAUCAGGGGUCCGGAAACUGUUGGGGGGCCAGACUAUGAUGUCCAAAAUUAAGAUUGUUGUUGUUGUGUGGCUUCAAGUCGUUUCAGACUUAGGUCAACCCUAAGGCUAAAGUUUAGGACAGAGGCCAGGUCAAUGACCUUGGAGGACCUUAGUUUGGGGACUCCUGAUCUAGACGAUCUCAUAAGAUCUCAGGUAAGCAAAGAGACCUCCAAAGACCAUCUAGAUGGUCUCAUAAGACCAUAGGUAAGGAAAGGGACCUCCAAAGACCGUCUAGAUGAUCUCAUAAGACCAUAGGUAAGGAAAGGGACCUCCAAAGACCAUCUAGAUGGUCUCAUAAGACCAUAGGGAAGCAAAGACACCUCCAAAGACCAUCUAGAUGGUCUCAUAAGGCCAUCAGAAGACCAUAGAUAAGGAAAGAAUCCCUCAAAGACCAUCUAGAUGGUUUCAUAAGCCUAUAGGUAAGGAAAAGGACCCUUAAAGGCCAUCUAGAUGGUCUCAUAGGACCGUAGGUAAGGAAAGCGACCUCCAAAAGCCAUCUAGAUGGCCUCACAAGGCUGCAGCUAAGCAAAGAGGCCUUCAAAGACCAUCUAGACAAUCUCAUAAGGCCAUAAGUAAGCAAAGAGACCUCCUAGAUUGCUAGGGUAGAUAGAUAGAUAAGAUAAGAUAGAUAGAUAAAGGUGUUCAACUGGGGAAUAUGCUGCUGGGGAGUUUGGCGGAGCUUUCUUCCUUUUCUGCAAGAGGCUGGGUGGCCAUCUGUUAGGAGGGCUUGGGUUGUGUCUUUGUCCCUUCAAACUACGAGUAUAAUAAUAAUAAGGGUUGUUGUGGUUGUUGUUAUUAUUAUUAUAUCUUCCUGCCUGGCAGAAGGGUUAGAGUCCAUAAUAAUAAUAAUAAUAAUAAUAAUAAUAAUAAUAAUAAUAAUAAUAAUAAUAAUAAUUGUAGUCAAAAAUCAGAAACUCCUUAAAACACAGCAAACAAAGAAUCAGUACAAGAAAACCGCACUACAAACUAGAGCUAACAGCUGGCACAACAAAACACUGCAUGGAAAGUUCCUUGACAAAAUUGAAGGAAAAGCUGAUAAGGAGAAGACCUGGCUCUGGCUCUGGCUCACGGAUGGGACCCUGAAGAAGGAGACAGAAGGCCUGAUCCUUGCAGCCCAGGAGCAAGCCAUCAGAACAAAGGCAAUUCAGGCCAAGAUCGAAAAAUCAGCUGAUGACCCAAAAUGCAGACUGUGCAAGGAAACCGACGAAACCAUUGAUCACAGCUGCUGUAAGAAAAUCACACAGACAGACUACAAACAGAAGCACAACUAUGUGGCCUAAAUGCCUCAAGUACCACUUCCCAGCAGCAAAGAACUGCAAAAGUAUUGGAAAAUGAGCACGCAAAGAUACUGUGGGACUUCCGAAUCCAGACUGACAAAGUUCUGGAACACAACACGCCAGACCUCAUAGUUGUGGAAAAGAAAAAGGUUUGGAUCAUUGGUGUUGCCAUCCCAGGUGACAGUCGCAUUGACGAAAAACAACAGGGAAAACUCAGCCGCUCUCAGGACCUCAAGAUUGAACUUCAAAGACUCUGGCAGAAACCAGUGCAGAUGGUCCCGGUGGUGAUGGGCACACUGGGUGCCGUGCCAAAAGAUCUCGGCCGGCAUUUGGAAACAACAGACUGACAAAAUUACAAUCUGCCAACUGCAAAAGGCCACCCGACUGGGAUCUGCACGCAUCGUCCGAAAAUACAUCACACAGUCCUAGACACUUGGGAAGUGUUCGACUUGUGAUUUUGUGAAAUUAAAUCCAGCAUGUCUAUCUUGUUUGCUGUGUCAUACAAUAAAAUAAUAAUAAUAAUAAUAGUAAAUGAUAAUAA